RNAcentral lists this ribosomal RNA (81 nucleotides) under uncultured eukaryote. Its description in RNAcentral is "partial small subunit ribosomal RNA". It matches the Rfam family "Eukaryotic small subunit ribosomal RNA", at positions 910 to 990 of the family's 1831-position model. The record is from RNAcentral.
GGUGGAAUUCUCAGAUUUGUUAAAGACUAACUUAUGCGAAAGCAUUUGCCAAGGAUGUUUUCAUCGAUCAAGAACGAAAGU